Molecule: ribosomal RNA, 460 nt
Filed under: uncultured bacterium
Lineage: Bacteria
Description: partial 16S ribosomal RNA
Rfam family: Bacterial small subunit ribosomal RNA
Source: RNAcentral
CCUACGGGUGGCAGCAGUGAGGAAUAUUGGUCAAUGGGCGGAAGCCUGAACCAGCCAAGUAGCGUGCAGGAUGACGGCCCUACGGAUUGUACACUGCUUUUAUACGGGAAUAACGCGCCUUACGUGUAGGGCUUUGCAUGUACCGUAUGAAUAAGGACCGGCUAAUUCCGUUCCAGCAGCCGCGGUAAUACUGAAUGUCCGGGCGUUAUGCGGAUUUAUUGGGUUUAAAGGGAGCGUAGGCCGCAUGUCAAGCGUACUGUGAAAUGUCCGGGCUCAACCCGGGCCUUGCAGCGCGCACUGGCGUGGUUGAGUCUGCUGAAAGCAGGCGGAAUUCGUCGUGUAGCGGUGCAAUGCUUAGAUAUGACGAAGAACCCAGAUUGCGAAGGCAGCUUGCUGCAGCGGAACUGACGCUGAUGCUCGAAAGCGCGGGUAUCGAACAGGAUUAGAUACCCCUGUAGUC